UCUGGCGGCAGUAGCGCGGUGGUCCCACCUGACCCCAUGCCGAACUCAGAAGUGAAACGCCGUAGCGCCGAUGGUAGUGUGGG
Molecule: ribosomal RNA, 83 nt
Filed under: Escherichia coli
Lineage: Bacteria; Pseudomonadati; Pseudomonadota; Gammaproteobacteria; Enterobacterales; Enterobacteriaceae
Also listed under: 1 other name
Source: RNAcentral